RNAcentral lists this ribosomal RNA (119 nucleotides) under Pteropus alecto (black flying fox). Lineage: Eukaryota; Metazoa; Chordata; Mammalia; Chiroptera; Pteropodidae. The record is from RNAcentral. RNAcentral also lists the same sequence under 1 other name.
GUCUACGGCCAUGCUACCCUGAACAAGCCCAAUCUUGUCUGAUCUCGGAUGCUAAGCAGGGUCUGGCCUGGUUAGUACUUGGAUGGGAGACCACCUAGGAAGACCAGGUGCUGUAAGCG